CAACUCUUAAGACUCACCAGAAAAUUCAUACUGGAGAGAAACCUUACAAAUGUAGGGAAUGUGACAAAUCCUUUACUCAUAACUCACAUCUUCGAAGACAUCAGAGUGUUCAUACUGGAGAGAGACCUUACAAAUGUAAGGACUGUGACAAAUCUUUUACUGAGUGUUCAACUCUUAAAGAACAUCAGAAACUUCAUACUGGAGAAAAAACUUACAAAUGUGGAGAAUGUAGCAAAUCUUUUAGCCAGCAUUCAUAUCUCAGAAGUCAUCUCAGAGUUCACACUGGAGAGAGACCUUACGUAUGUAAGGAAUGUGGCAAAUCUUUUACUACAUGCUCGACUCUUAGGACACAUCAGAAAAUUCAUACUGGAGAGAAACCUUACAAAUGUAGGGAAUGUAACAAAUCGUUUACUCAGGACUCACAUCUUAGAACACAUCACAGAGUUCAUACUGGAGAGAGACCUUACAGUUGUAAGGAAUGUGACAGAUCUUUUACUCGGUGCUCAUAUCUUAGAGCACAUCAGAAAAUUCAUACUGGAGAAAAACCUUACAAAUGCAAAGACUGUGACAUAUCCUUUCUCCGGAUUUCUAGUCUUAGAAUACAUCAGGAAAUUCAUACUGGAGAGAAACCUUACAAAUGCAAAGACUGUGACAUAUCAUUUAACCAGAUUUCAAAUCUCAAAAGACAUCAGAAGCUUCAUACUGGAGAGAAACCUUACAAAUGUAUGGAAUGUGACAAGUCCUUUACUCAGAACUCAAACCUUAGAGCACAUCAGAGAGUUCAUACUGGAGAGAAACCUUACAAAUGCAAAGACUGUGACAAAUCUUUUACUAGGUGCUCCUACCUUAGAGCACAUCAGAAAAUUCAUACUGGAGACAAACCUUACAAAUGUAAAGACUGUGACAAAUCCUUUAUCCACCUUUCAAAUCUUAGAAGACAUCAG
Molecule: long non-coding RNA, 944 nt
Filed under: Rattus norvegicus (Norway rat)
Lineage: Eukaryota; Metazoa; Chordata; Mammalia; Rodentia; Muridae
Description: long non-coding RNA NONRATT000266
Source: RNAcentral